This 374-nucleotide ribosomal RNA is filed under the name Bacillus subtilis. Its description in RNAcentral is "bacterial SSU rRNA". It matches the Rfam family "Bacterial small subunit ribosomal RNA", at positions 543 to 916 of the family's 1533-position model. The record is from RNAcentral. Lineage: Bacteria; Bacillati; Bacillota; Bacilli; Caryophanales; Bacillaceae.
UUCCGGGGUUAUUGGGCGUAAAGGCUCGCAGGCGGUUUCUUAAGUCUGAUGUGAAAGCCCCCGGCUCAACCGGGGAGGGUCAUUGGAAACUGGGGAACUUGAGUGCAGAAGAGGAGAGUGGAAUUCCACGUGUAGCGGUGAAAUGCGUAGAGAUGUGGAGGAACACCAGUGGCGAAGGCGACUCUCUGGUCUGUAACUGACGCUGAGGAGCGAAAGCGUGGGGAGCGAACAGGAUUAGAUACCCUGGUAGUCCACGCCGUAAACGAUGAGUGCUAAGUGUUAGGGGGUUUCCGCCCCUUAGUGCUGCAGCUAACGCAUUAAGCACUCCGCCUGGGGAGUACGGUCGCAAGACUGAAACUCAAAGGAAUUGACGG